GACGAACGCUGGCGGCGUGCUUAACACAUGCAAGUCGAACGGAAAGGCCCUGCUUUUGUGGGGUGCUCGAGUGGCGAACGGGUGAGUAACACGUGAGUAACCUGCCCUUGACUUUGGGAUAACUUCAGGAAACUGGGGCUAAUACCGGAUAGGAGCUCCUGCUGCAUGGUGGGGGUUGGAAAGUUUCGGCGGUUGGGGAUGGACUCGCGGCUUAUCAGCUUGUUGGUGGGGUAGUGGCUUACCAAGGCUUUGACGGGUAGCCGGCCUGGGAGGGUGACCGGCCACAUUGGGACUGAGAUACGGCGCAGACUCCUACGGGAGGCAGCAGUGGGGAAUAUUGCACAAUGGGCGGAAGCCUGAUGCAGCAACGCCGCGUGCGGGAUGACGGCCUUCGGGUUGUAAACCGCUUUCGCCUGUGACGAAGCGUGAGUGACGGUAAUGGGUAAAGAAGCACCGGCUAACUACGUG
RNAcentral lists this ribosomal RNA (468 nucleotides) under uncultured bacterium. Its description in RNAcentral is "partial 16S ribosomal RNA". It matches the Rfam family "Bacterial small subunit ribosomal RNA", at positions 28 to 507 of the family's 1533-position model. The record is from RNAcentral.